RNAcentral lists this ribosomal RNA (253 nucleotides) under uncultured bacterium. RNAcentral's name for it is "partial 16S ribosomal RNA". It matches the Rfam family "Bacterial small subunit ribosomal RNA", at positions 524 to 776 of the family's 1533-position model. The record is from RNAcentral.
UACGAAGGGGGCUAGCGUUGCUCGGAAUCACUGGGCGUAAAGGGUGCGUAGGCGGGUCUUUAAGUCAGGGGUGAAAUCCUGGAGCUCAACUCCAGAACUGCCUUUGAUACUGAGGAUCUUGAGUUCGGGAGAGGUGAGGGGAACUGCGAGUGUAGAGGUGAAAUUCGUAGAUAUUCGCAAGAACCCCAGUGGCGAAGGCGGCUCACUGGCCCGAUACUGACGCUGAGGCACGAAAGCGUGGGGAGCAAACAGG